Callithrix jacchus (white-tufted-ear marmoset) is the source of this 326-nucleotide long non-coding RNA. RefSeq lists it as uncharacterized. The record is from RefSeq and is a predicted model, not a curated record. Lineage: Eukaryota; Metazoa; Chordata; Mammalia; Primates; Cebidae.
CAUUGAAACAAAGGGAAGGAGGAAUUUCAGAGCUGGGGUCUGCAAGCAACAUGUCAACUGCGGCUGUAGUAUCGUCUCAGGACUCUACUAGGAAGGCUCAACUUCCAUGCUCAGCAAUGGCUCCGAGGAAUGUCUGCAAGAGAUACACCCUGAAGACCACGAUGUUCAGCAGCAGCAAGGGGAGGACUGAAGAUGGCGCUGUGAGAACAACCCAGGAUUGGAGCUCUCACUGAAUCCACAAAUGAUGAGUCGGAGCUGCAUUUCCAGACUGAUCUUUGUUGCCCACAGAACGGGGAAACUCCCAAGUAUAAAAAAGACACGGGAUG